GAGUUGAUCCUGGCUCAGAUUGAACGCUGGCGGCAUGCUUUACACAUGCAAGUCGAACGGCAGCGGGGGCUUCGGCCCGCCGGCGAGUGGCGAACGGGUGAGUAAUGCAUCGGAACGUGCCCAGUCGUCGGGGGAUAACUACGCGAAAGCGUAGCUAAUACCGCAUACGUCCUGAGGGAGAAAGCGGGGGAUCUUCGGACCUCGCGCGAUUGGAGCGGCCGAUGUCGGAUUAGCUAGUUGGUGGGGUAAAGGCUCACCAAGGCGACGAUCCGUAGCUGGUCUGAGAGGAUGAUCAGCCACACUGGGACUGAGACACGGCCCAGACUCCGUACGGGAGGCAGCAGUGGGGAAUUUUGGACAAUGGGGGAAACCCUGAUCCAGCCAUGCCGCGUGAGUGAAGAAGGCCUUCGGGUUGUAAAGCUCUUUCGGACGGAAAGAAAUCGCUUCGGCCAAUACCCGGAGUGGAUGACGGUACCGUAAGAAGAAGCACCGGCUAACUACGUG
RNAcentral lists this ribosomal RNA (504 nucleotides) under uncultured Azoarcus sp. Its description in RNAcentral is "bacterial SSU rRNA". It matches the Rfam family "Bacterial small subunit ribosomal RNA", at positions 9 to 507 of the family's 1533-position model. The record is from RNAcentral. Lineage: Bacteria; Pseudomonadati; Pseudomonadota; Betaproteobacteria; Rhodocyclales; Zoogloeaceae.